GACGAACGCUGGCGGCGUGCCUAAUACAUGCAAGUCGAACGAGAGCGACCGGUGCUUGCACUGGUCAAUCUAGUGGCGAACGGGUGAGUAACACGUGGGUAACCUGCCCAUCAGAGGGGGAUAACAUCCGGAAACGGAUGCUAAAACCGCAUAGGUCUUCGAGCCGCAUGGCUUGAAGAGGAAAAGAGGCGCAAGCUUCUGCUGAUGGAGGGACCCGCGGUGCAUUAGCUAGUUGGUGAGGUAACGGCUCACCAAGGCCGUGAUGCAUAGCCGACCUAAGAGGGUGAUCGGCCACAUUGGGACUGAGACACGGCCCAAACUCCUACGGGAGGCAGCAGUAGGGAAUCUUCCGCAAUGGGCGCAAGUCUGACGGAGCAACGCCGCGUGAGUGAAGAAGGUUUUCGGAUCGUAAAACUCUGUUGUUAGAGAAGAACAAGUGCUAGAGUAACUGUUAGCGCCUUGACGGUAUCUAACCAGAAAGCCACGGCUAACUACGUG
Molecule: ribosomal RNA, 498 nt
Filed under: uncultured bacterium
Lineage: Bacteria
Description: partial 16S ribosomal RNA
Rfam family: Bacterial small subunit ribosomal RNA
Source: RNAcentral